GCAGGGCUCCGGCCUCGGCCGCACCCCCGCCGGCUCGCCGCCGCCGCCUCCCCACAGCGGACUAGUCUGCGAGGGCGGCGACCAGCCCGGCUUAUUUAAAAGGGGUGGGGACCCGACAAGCGCUGGGAGACGCAGCCACUGCGGGCCGAGAGCGCGGCCGGAGCUCCUCCUCCUUCCGUCGCCGCCUCCAGACUGAAGGCCGCUAGCCGGCUCCUGCCAACCGGAACGCGUCCCGCGGUCACCUGGUGACGGGCAGCCAAUCAGACUCGGACUUCCCUCCACGCGCCCGCCUACGGCCCAGGCACGUGACUCACAAAGCCCCGCCCCAUCCCUCAAGCCGCGCGGCGCGGACUCGGGUUUCCAUUCAUCGUGGGCAGCUGGGGGGCCGGAGGGGGGUCCUCGGGGGUGAGCUGCGGCAGUUCGCUGCUCGAGGCUGCGCUUCGAGGCGGGCCCCGAAGGCCAGGCUUGGUGGAGCGCUGGUUCUGUCAGCAGCCGGGCUUCUCCAUGUCUGACAGCUUCCCUUUGCUCACCCAAAGCACCUGCCAGGCUUCUGCCAGAACUAUGUGAGAGAUUCUGGACAUUGCCUGGCAUGACAGAAAAUAAAGG
Peromyscus leucopus (white-footed mouse) is the source of this 606-nucleotide long non-coding RNA. RefSeq lists it as uncharacterized. The transcript has 2 exons. NCBI's taxonomy places the organism in Eukaryota, Metazoa, Chordata, Mammalia, Rodentia, Cricetidae. The record is from RefSeq and is a predicted model, not a curated record.